RNAcentral lists this ribosomal RNA (368 nucleotides) under uncultured organism. Its description in RNAcentral is "bacterial SSU rRNA". It matches the Rfam family "Bacterial small subunit ribosomal RNA", at positions 526 to 896 of the family's 1533-position model. The record is from RNAcentral.
CGGAGGGUGCAAGCGUUAUCCGGAUUUACUGGGUUUAAAGGGUGCGUAGGUGGGUCUGUAAGUCAGUGGUGAAAUCUCCGAGCUUAACUCGGAAACUGCCAUUGAUACUAUAGAUCUUGAAUUAUCUGGAGGUAAGCGGAAUAUGUCAUGUGGCGGUGAAAUGCUUAGAUAUGACAUAGAACACCAAUUGCGAAGGCAGCUUACUACGGAUAUAUUGACACUGAGGCACGAAAGCGUGGGGAUCAAACAGGAUUAGAUACCCUGGUAGUCCACGCCCUAAACGAUGGAUACUCGACAUCAGCGAUACACUGUUGGUGUCUGAGCGAAAGCAUUAAGUAUCCCACCUGGGAAGUACGAUCGCAAGAUUG